AUUGGCAAUGACAGACAAUUCCUGCUUGUCACAUACAUCACAUGAUGAUACAUACUUUGGUAACAUUUAGUUCAUUACUACACUCACUUCCAUUUUAGUUAUGUAAAAAAAACUUUUAAGUUAAAACUCAUGUGUGGUCUCCCCAUCAUGUCCAGCCUUGAGCCGGGUUUUGAAAUGAUGCACCUGGACACAUCAACAGUGAUGUUACCUGGGGCCAUUGGGUAUUUCAGGUCUUAAGACAAUCAGACAUCCUUGUAGAAGCGACCCAGCUGAGACUGAUCAAGGAUCGGCUUGUAUCCAGGUAGCGCUAUGCAUGGUUGCAUGGUUCUUCUUUACUAAUCCACAGCAAUCUUAAAGCAACUUCUGCUUUCUCUGUGGCCAACCUGAUGGCCCUUCGCCUUCUGGCCCCAGUGACGCCCAGCAUGAUGGAGGCCCUGCAGAGGGACUGGCAUGCAAACCCUCUGCAUCCCACCUCAGUGGGCUCACACCUUGCUUGCCACUCAUUGCUUUGGCAUUCUUCCACAAGCUCAACGUACUUUCCUCUCUUCUUCUCAUUGGGCUCCUCAGUGUGGUGCUCCCAUAACCAGUUUCGCAAAUACCGCCAUCUUGGACAUCGCGCAAUGCAUUGUGGGUAUGCACCGAUGCACCAUCAGCCGCAAUGGACACAAAAGAUCACUUUAGUAAUAUGACUGUUUGUCAAUUAUUUAUCAGAACGCGAUAUUGUAGUGUCAAAUGCAUUAAAAAAAGAUUUAGUUGCCCGUUGCCAUGCAGCAUGUUUGUUAAAUCUUCAACCAAAGGCUACAGCGGAAGAAUAUAAAAAAAGAAACUGCGAACCAGUGGCUGUCCAAAUUAAUUUUAGAUGGGGGCAUAAUCUGCCUACCUGAUCCCGAUAUCCUCCGAGAUGGUUGGGAAGACAGCCCAUCAAGUUAUCCACAUCUGUUACAGCGUGGCAUAGAAACAUACUUUAACAAAAGUAAGUAAUCAAUGAGAAUAUGUUUCCUAAUCUUUUUUUUAAUACUUGUUAGCGGUCUUGUUCAUCUGCUCUGGCAAUUUGCAUGACAUGUAGGCUACUAUUAGGCUAUACAUUUUACUCCUUUGCCAUGUAUACAUUUAGUAAUGAUGCCAACUAAAUAGGCCUAUGUGUUUUCUCCUAUAGAAAACCGAGCAAUUGACAUUUUAACUGGUGGUGCCGAGGCUUUGAGGGAUGGAAAGUCCCUUCACAUGUCAGACCAUGUCCAUAAUGUGCAAUAUCAUGGCAUUGGUGAAAACAUGCCAUAUUGUUUCCUGAGAGCCACAGUGAUCAGAGAAACCAACACCUCUCUGGCACCCUAUAAAUGCUGGUUGAUUGUAAGGCAAAAGCAUUGUUGGUGGAUGCCUUCUGCUCCUGUCCUGCAGGGUUACGUGGCACAUGCAAGCAUGUGGCAUCCCUUUGCCAUACGGUGAUCGAGAGAGUGGUGAGGGGGGAAAACACAACGGUGACUCAACAGAGGCAAAAGUGGCAUGCGCCAUCCAAAAAGCCACACAGUGCAGAGUUCCUUGAAGACAUCCAUAUUCAGAAAGUUAAAGGUGAUGUUUUGUGUACAUUUAAUAAUUGAAUUUGUCAAUUAUUUGGUGUAACUGGCUGUCCUUUUCUGUGAUUUAUGAUAUUCUGUUAUUCCCUUCUAUGGAUGUGACAUGCUGCUACAAAUGUAUGCUAAUAACUGACUGUAUUACAAACCCAAACAUUAUGUAGUAAGUCCAUUUCAUGUUACUGUCCACUGAGCUACAAGUCUCCUGUCUUGUUUUUACUCUCUUGCAUCUGUGAAGCCACAAAGUCCUAUUCACCUCAGCCUGCCAAAUCAUGUCACCUAAGACCAGUUUUUAAUUUGUACUCAUUUGUACUUAUACUUUCAGGAAACUGUCAUUGAGGAGAAAGUGUGUCAUACCCAGAGGUUCCAGUUUGACCCUCGAGCUCUACGUCACAGAACCAAAAAAUCCAUCUAUGACAUGGACCUUCAGGGGCUCCGAGAAGCUACAAAUGGAAGUGCUGGGAUUCUCAUGUUCCUGCCAGCUGCCCCUGAUCCAGCACAUGCAUUACCUGACAUGAGGGACUCUGGUGUAGUACAAUGGGAGGAGGCCCUUGAAGAUCCGCUACAGCAAGUGAAUGUUGCACUGCCCCCCACACUCCCAUCCCUAGCAGCUACACACUGCUCUUCCAAAGAUCAGUUCUUUGAGGCAGCUGUACAGCAGUUGGACCAAGAUGAUGUUUCAGCCGUGUGUCAGCACACAAUAGACCAGAGUAAUUCAGAUGGAUGGCAUGACUACAGAGUAGGGCGUGUUACAGCGUGCAAAGCACAUAAAGUGUUUAAAAAAGUGAACCAUGUAGUAGUAAACAGUAGGAAUACUGCUUUGCUGAAAGAAAUUAUGAACUAUGUGCCACCAGCUCACUCACCAGCUAUCCAUUGGGGCAAUUAUAAUGAAAAAUAUGCUGUGCACAACUUUGAGAAGCUGAACUGACGUAAGCACAAGGGCAUGAAAACAACCCCCUGUGGACUUAUUCUGUACGGCCAGCUGCCCAUAAUGGCUGCAUCACCAGAUGCACUUGUAACUUGCAAGUGUUGUGGCACUCGUCCCCUUGAGGUGAAGAACCCCUUCAAGCAUCGAGCUCUCAGUAUCCCUAAGUUUGCUGAACAACCAGAUUCUUGCCUUCAUAUCACACCAACAGGUGAAAUAAAGCUGAAGGCAACACAUCCCUACUACUCCAAGUUCAACUACAGAUGCUGGUCACCGAUGCAGAUGUGGGGUACUUCUUUCUUCAAACUGCUUCCCCAUGCAACAGAUAGUACACAGAGGAAAUCAGCUUCGACCCCUUGCUAGUGGAGGAGAUAAUUGCAAAGUCAACAAUUUUCUUCCAGUCUGUGAUUCAACCAGAGUUACUGGAAGGGAUGUUGAAGAGCUCAAUGGAGAAAGGUGAGGAAAGGGGAACAGCCGGUUCAUCUGGUCCAGAGGCUCUCCAGAGUGCCACAAGCGAUGAGCUGCCACCACCCAGUGCAGGAAACGUGGUUACACCAUCCAGUGCAGGAAACGUGGUUACACCAUCCAGUGCAGGAAAUGUGGUUACACCCACCUCAUCAGUUGUGGAGUGUCCUUGUGUUGUGUGCACAAGGGAAUGUGUGGGUGACUCACACACAAUGGAAGAAAUGAGUAUUUAUUGUUACUCUUGCAAGGAGUGGUUACAUUGGACAUGUGUUGGGUUAAGUGGUCAGGAGGCCUUCCUCCAAAAGAAGGUGACCAAUUGGUUUUGUGCAAAAAUGUGAACUGUUUAAACAUUAAUUCAAGUAUGAUAUGUGGCACCCCUGGACUGGUGUCAUGGCACCCACUUUGAGAAACCCUGGUUAAGUGCACUGAAAUAUAGACGUGAACAUUCCUCCAGCCUAUGCGUACUGUGUACUGUUUAAUGCACUAAUAUACAGCACUUGAAGAAAAAGUACACAAAAUUCCUGUUUUGUUUUGUUACAGUAUUGACAGUGGUGGAGUAAGUACUCAAUCCAGUAAUUGUGUCAAAGUAUAGAUACUCUUAGGGAAAUAUUACCCAACUACAAGUUCAAGGUACAAGGUUGCUUAGUCAAAUUUGUACUCAAGUCCAAUAUCUCAGUGACACUUCAGUGGAAUUAUAGGUGGCUGUAAAUUGAUAAGUGCUGCCACAACAAAAACAAUGUCAUCAAAAAUAUCGAACAUGUCUAAUGGGAGUUCAGAUUUCAUGAUGUCAAAAUCCUUAAUCCUGCCAAUAACAUGUUCAGUGUGAAUUCGAGCAUUAGCAACUUGUUUGGUUCUCCUGUCGUCAGCAUCUGAAAACUGCUUUUUGGAUUUCAAGAAUGGAGGGAUUACAAGGCUCACUCCUUUGUCUAGAAGUAGCUCUUGGAUGUUGAACCCUCUGUCUGCAUGCAGGAUAUCACCCCUUUCUACCAUGUCAAUGAUACCUGACC
Epinephelus fuscoguttatus (brown-marbled grouper) is the source of this 3965-nucleotide long non-coding RNA. RefSeq lists it as uncharacterized. The record is from RefSeq and is a predicted model, not a curated record. NCBI's taxonomy places the organism in Eukaryota, Metazoa, Chordata, Actinopteri, Perciformes, Serranidae. The transcript is spliced from 3 exons.